This 2922-nucleotide ribosomal RNA is filed under the name Lentilactobacillus parabuchneri. Its description in RNAcentral is "23S ribosomal RNA". It matches the Rfam family "Bacterial large subunit ribosomal RNA". Lineage: Bacteria; Bacillati; Bacillota; Bacilli; Lactobacillales; Lactobacillaceae. The record is from RNAcentral.
AGGUUAAGUUAAAAAGGGCGCAUGGUGAAUGCCUUGGCACUAGAAGCCGAUGAAGGACGGGACUAACACCGAUAUGCUUCGGGGAGCUGUACGUAAGCUUUGAUCCGGAGAUUUCCGAAUGGGGAAACCCAGCAGCUUUAAUCAGCUGUUACUAUAUAGUGAAUUCAUAGCUAUGUAGAGGUAGACGUGGGGAACUGAAACAUCUCAGUACCCACAGGAGCAGAAAGAAAUUUCGAUUCCCUAAGUAGCGGCGAGCGAACGGGGAACAGCCCAAACCAACGAGCUUGCUCGUUGGGGUUGUAGGACUGAACAUUUGAGUUACCAAAGUUGUUGAUAAUCGAACAAUCUGGGAAGGUUGGCGAAACAGGGUGAUAGCCCCGUAGGUGAAAUCAAUGACCCUCAGUUCAGGAUCCUGAGUACGGCGACACACGUGAAACGUCGUCGGAAUCCGGGAGGACCAUCUCCCAAGGCUAAAUACUCUCUAGUGACCGAUAGUGAACCAGUACCGUGAGGGAAAGGUGAAAAGCACCCCGGAAGGGGAGUGAAAUAGUUCCUGAAACCAUGUGCCUACAAGCAGUUAGAGCCCGUUAAUGGGUGAUAGCGUGCCUCUUGUAGAAUGAACCGGCGAGUUACGGUAACAUGCAAGGUUAAGGUUUAAAAGCCGGAGCCGCAGCGAAAGCGAGUCUGAAAUGGGCGUUUGAGUAUGUUGCUGUAGACCCGAAACCAGGUGAUCUACCCAUGUCCAGGCUGAAGGUGCGGUAAAACGCACUGGAGGGCCGAACCCGUGUACGUUGAAAAGUGCUGGGAUGAGGUGUGGGUAGCGGUGAAAUUCCAAACGAACUUGGAGAUAGCUGGUUCUCUCCGAAAUAGCUUUAGGGCUAGCCUCGGACGUAGAAUCAUGGAGGUAGAGCCACUGUUUGGAUGAGGGGCCCGUCAUGGGUUACUAAGUUCAGAUAAACUCCGAAUACCAUUGAUUUUUAUCCGGGAGUCAGACGGUGAGUGAUAAGAUCCAUCGUCAAAAGGGGAACAGCCCAGACCACCAGUUAAGGUCCCUAAAUAUAUGCUAAGUGGAAAAGGAUGUGGAGUUGCAUAGACAACUAGGAUGUUGGCUCAGAAGCAGCCACCAUUUAAAGAGUGCGUAAUAGCUCACUAGUCGAGUGAUUCCGCGCCGAAAAUUUACCGGGGCUAAGCAUAUUACCGAGACUGUGGACUUGACCUUUGGUCAAGUGAUAGGAGAGCGUUCUAAGGGCAAUGAAGCCAGACCGUAAGGACUGGUGGAGCGCUUAGAAGUGAGAAUGCCGGUAUGAGUAGCGAAAGAUCAGUGAGAAUCUGAUCCACCGAAUGACUAAGGUUUCCUGGGGAAGGCUCGUCCUCCCAGGGUUAGUCGGGACCUAAGCCGAGGCCGAAAGGCGUAGGCGAUGGAUAACAGGUUGAGAUUCCUGUACUAGUUGAUGAUGUUUGAGCGAUGGAGGGACGCAGGAGGCUAAGUUGUGCAUCCAGUUGGAAAGGGAUGUUCAAGCAACGAGUCAGUCAAUGAGUUAAAUGCUUAUUGGCGGGUUGACAAGUUGUGAUGAGGACCGAAAUUUAAGUAGGGAAGCAACCAACGUCACACUGCCGAGAAAAGCUUCUAGUGAGUCAUCAACUACCCGUACCGCAAACCGACACAGGUAGUCGAGGAGAGAAUCCUCAGGUGAGCGAGUGAACUCUCGUUAAGGAACUCGGCAAAAUGACCCCGUAACUUCGGGAGAAGGGGUGCUGUGCGCAAGCACAGCCGCAGUGAAAAGGCCCAGGCGACUGUUUAUCAAAAACACAGGUUUCUGCAAAAUCGUAAGAUGACGUAUAGGGGCUGACGCCUGCCCGGUGCUGGAAGGUUAAGUGGAUGAGUUAGCUUCGGCGAAGCCCAGAAAUGAAGCCCCAGUAAACGGCGGCCGUAACUAUAACGGUCCUAAGGUAGCGAAAUUCCUUGUCGGGUAAGUUCCGACCCGCACGAAAGGCGUAACGAUCUGGGCACUGUCUCAACGAGAGACUCGGUGAAAUUAAGAUACCUGUGAAGAAGCAGGUUACCCGCGACAGGACGGAAAGACCCCAUGGAGCUUUACUGUAGCUUGAUAUUGGGUGUUGACACAGCUUGUACAGGAUAGGUAGGAGCCAUUGAAGCCGGAACGCUAGUUUCGGCAGAGGCGUUGGUGGGAUACUACCCUCGCUGUGUGAACACUCUAACCCGCGCCACUCAGCGUGGCGGGAGACAGUGUCAGGUAGGCAGUUUGACUGGGGCGGUCGCCUCCCAAACAGUAACGGAGGCGCCCAAAGGUUCCCUCAGAAUGGUUGGAAAUCAUUCAACGAGUGUAAAGGCAGAAGGGAGCUUGACUGCGAGACAGACAGGUCGAGCAGGGACGAAAGUCGGGCUUAGUGAUCCGGUGGUACCGUAUGGAAGGGCCAUCGCUCAACGGAUAAAAGCUACCCUGGGGAUAACAGGCUUAUCUCCCCCAAGAGUCCACAUCGACGGGGAGGUUUGGCACCUCGAUGUCGGCUCAUCGCAUCCUGGGGCUGUAGUCGGUCCCAAGGGUUGGGCUGUUCGCCCAUUAAAGCGGUACGCGAGCUGGGUUCAGAACGUCGUGAGACAGUUCGGUCCCUAUCCGUCGCGGGCGUAGGAAAUUUGAGAGGAGCUGUCCUUAGUACGAGAGGACCGGGAUGGACAUACCGCUGGUGUACCAGUUGCGCCGCCAGGCGCACCGCUGGGUAGCUACGUAUGGAUGAGAUAAACGCUGAAAGCAUCUAAGUGUGAAACUCACCUCAAGAUGAGAUUUCCCAUUCCUAUAUGGAAGUAAGACCCCUGAGAGAUGAUCAGGUAGAUAGGUUGGAAGUGGAAGUGCAGUGAUGUACGGAGCGGACCAAUACUAAUCGGUCGAGGACUUAACCAAG